CACGCAGGCGGUUUGUUAAGUCAGAUGUGAAAGCCCUGGGCUCAACCUGGGAACUGCAUUUGAAACUGGCAAACUAGAGUAUGAGAGAGAGAAGUGGAAUUCCACAUGUAGCGGUGAAAUGCGUAGAGAUGUGGAGGAACAUCAGUGGCGAAGGCGACUUCUUGGCUCAAUACUGACGCUCAGGUGCGAAAGCGUGGGGAGCAAACAGGAUUAGAUACCCUGGUAGUCC
Molecule: ribosomal RNA, 229 nt
Filed under: uncultured bacterium
Lineage: Bacteria
Description: partial 16S ribosomal RNA
Rfam family: Bacterial small subunit ribosomal RNA
Source: RNAcentral